AUCUUCUCACUGAGCCCCUGUCUGCCAGCCAGUGACAGAUUAUGGAUUCACACGUGAAGAGAGUUCACAGAACUGGCACUUAUCUGUUUUGGCAGAGGUAUACUUGGCUGCGGUGUGAGACAUUC
This is a small nucleolar RNA of Arvicanthis niloticus (Nile rat), 125 nucleotides long. RefSeq annotates it as small nucleolar RNA SNORA75. Lineage: Eukaryota; Metazoa; Chordata; Mammalia; Rodentia; Muridae. The record is from RefSeq and is a predicted model, not a curated record.